Long non-coding RNA from Gastrolobium bilobum, 329 nucleotides. RefSeq lists it as uncharacterized. NCBI's taxonomy places the organism in Eukaryota, Viridiplantae, Streptophyta, Magnoliopsida, Fabales, Fabaceae. The transcript is spliced from 3 exons. The record is from RefSeq and is a predicted model, not a curated record.
GGAUUGAGCAAGGAGACCCAAUAGUUGAGGAGGACCCAUUGGUGGCACUAUUACAGUGAGAAACCUAAAUUUUCUCUAAAUUUUCAAAGAGGGUAGUGACUUUGUGAAAAAUCGUGAAUCUGUGGACACGAGAAUUAUUGGAGGACUUUGCUUGCGAGGUACAGGAGCUGAUGGUACUGAGGUAUCGUGUGGCAAGAGGCCAGAUGAGAGAUACUACUUGACAUGAAUGUCAGGGUCUUACGGAGAUUUAGAUUUGUACCUGACAUACUUUAUUUUAGGAGAUGUCUAUGCCAUGUCGAUAGUCUGUAUAUGUUGUUAGUUAUGCAUGC